AUGAGUUUUCUUGAAGGCUUUUUUGGUCCAGUUUGUGAGAUUGAUAUGUCUUUAAUGAUGGAGAAGCCAGGAAAAUGACAGAAAUGAAAACUGAAGAUGGCAAAGUAGAAAAACACCAUCUCUUUAUAAUGGAGAAUCUGUUUCAGGGAAGGUAAAUGUAGCCUUUAAGCAACCUGGAUAGAGGCUAGAGCACCAAGGAAUUAGAAUUGAAUUUAUAGGUCAAAUGGAACUUUACAAUGACAAGAGUAAUGCUCAUGAAUUUAUAAACCUAAUGAAAGAACUAGCCUUACCUGGAGAACUGACUCAGAGAAGAAGUUAUGAUUUUGAGUUUAUGCAAGUUAAAAAGCCAUAUGCAUCUGACAUCGGUGCCAGUGUUCACUUGAGGUAUUUUCUUAAAGUGACAAUAGUGAGAAGACUGACAGAUUUAGUAAAAGAAUGUGAUCUUAUUGUUCACCAGCUUGCCACCUGUCCUGAUGUUAACAACUGUAUUAAGAUAGAAGUGGGCAUUGAAGAUUGUCUACAUAUAUAAUUUGAAUAUAGUAAGUCAAAGUAUCAUUUAAAGCAUGUAAUUGUUGGAAAAAUUUACUUCUUAGUAGUAAGAAUAAAAAUACAACAUAUGGAGUUACAACUGAUCAAAAAAGAGAUCACAGGAAUUGGACCCAGUACCACAGCAGAAACAGAAACAUCACCAAAUAUGAAAUAAUGGAUGGUGCACCAGUAAAAGGUGAAUCAAUUCCAAUGAGACUGUUUUUAGUGGGAUAUGACCCUACUCCAACAAUCAGAUGUGAACCAAAAAGUUUCAGUAAGGUACUUUUUGAAUUUAGUGUUUGUUGAUGAGGAAGACUGAAGGUACUUCAAACAGCAGGAGAUCAUUUUAUGAAGAAAAGCUCCUGAAAAACUGAGGAAACAGAGAAAAAACUUUCACCAGUGAUUUGAAUCUCCAGAAUCACAGGCAUCUGCUCAACAGCCUGAAAUGUGA
RNAcentral lists this long non-coding RNA (979 nucleotides) under Homo sapiens (human). RNAcentral describes it as "non-protein coding lnc-ZDHHC23-2:1". Lineage: Eukaryota; Metazoa; Chordata; Mammalia; Primates; Hominidae. The record is from RNAcentral.